This 392-nucleotide ribosomal RNA is filed under the name Bacillus gaemokensis. RNAcentral describes it as "bacterial SSU rRNA". It matches the Rfam family "Bacterial small subunit ribosomal RNA", at positions 390 to 774 of the family's 1533-position model. Lineage: Bacteria; Bacillati; Bacillota; Bacilli; Caryophanales; Bacillaceae. The record is from RNAcentral.
AGCACGCCGCGUGAGUGAUGAAGGCUUUCGGGUCGUAAAACUCUGUUGUUAGGGAAGAACAAGUGCUAGUUGAAUAAGCUGGCACCUUGACGGUACCUAACCAGAAAGCCACGGCUAACUACGUGCCAGCAGCCGCGGUAAUACGUAGGUGGCAAGCGUUAUCCGGAAUUAUUGGGCGUAAAGCGCGCGCAGGUGGUUUCUUAAGUCUGAUGUGAAAGCCCACGGCUCAACCGUGGAGGGUCAUUGGAAACUGGGAGACUUGAGUGCAGAAGAGGAAAGUGGAAUUCCAUGUGUAGCGGUGAAAUGCGUAGAGAUAUGGAGGAACACCAGUGGCGAAGGCGACUUUCUGGUCUGUAACUGACACUGAGGCGCGAAAGCGUGGGGAGCAAACA